AUGAUCAGCUCCUACCCCAACCCUCCCCCAGCUUCCUCCCUGACUGACCUGGUGACUCACUACAAUAACUGCCUCUCCUCCUCCCUCACCACCCUGGCCCCCCUGAAAACCCGCUCAGUCUCAUUCACCCACACUGCUCCCUGGUUCACUCCUCAUCUGCGCCAGCUCAAAGCCACUGGUCGUCGACUGGAGCGACUCUACAAUAAGACAAAACUCACUGUACACCGCCAAAUGUAUUCGGACCACCUCCAUCACUACAAGAAUGCCCUCACCACUGCCAAAACCUCAUACUACUCCAACCUCAUCAACACUGGUACAGGCAACAGCAGAGUCCUCUUCUCAACAGUCAACCACUUACUUCAGCCUCCUAAAUCUCUCCCUCCAGAUAUUUCCACCACCCAAUGCACUGCGUUCCUUGACUUCUUCAGCUCUAAAAUCAACACCAUUCACCAACAACUGGCCUCAUCUCGCACCCCCUCUGAUGACCCACCCUGGAUGAUCACCUCUGGCCAACCUCUCAUCAGCUCCCUCUCUGACUUCACCCUAGUAACAGAACAGACCGUCUCAGAACUCAUCCGCAAAGCCAAAACCACCACCUGUCAGCUCGAUCCUCUUCCCACCUCCCUUGUCAAAGCAUGUCUUCCGUCCAUCUCCCCCAUGAUCACCAACAUAAUUAACUCCUCCCUCACUACUGGUACUGUACCCCUCACUCUCAAGCUGGCUGCCAUCACUCCCAUCCUGAAAAAACCUGGUGCUGACCCAUCUGACCUUAACCAUUACCGGCCCAUCUCCAAUCUCCCUUUCAUCUCCAAAACACUUGAAAGGGUGGUUGCCGCACAACUACAGUCCCACCUCGACAUUAACAAUCUCCACGAACCGUUCCAAUCUGGCUUCCGUCCAAAACACAGCACUGAAACAGCCCUAGUCAAAAUCACCAACGACCUCCUCCUUGCAGCCGACUCUGGAUUACUCACCAUUCUCAUCCUCUCAGCGCAGCAUUCGACACCAUCUCCCACCCUCUGCUCCUGGACCGCCUAG
Molecule: long non-coding RNA, 1038 nt
Filed under: Gadus morhua (Atlantic cod)
Lineage: Eukaryota; Metazoa; Chordata; Actinopteri; Gadiformes; Gadidae
Description: lncRNA (ENSGMOG00000023451.1)
Source: RNAcentral